This 1135-nucleotide long non-coding RNA is filed under the name Mustela putorius furo (domestic ferret). Its description in RNAcentral is "lncRNA (ENSMPUG00000026979.1)". Lineage: Eukaryota; Metazoa; Chordata; Mammalia; Carnivora; Mustelidae. The record is from RNAcentral.
CUGGGCAUCCCAUAAUGUCUCCCUUCAUCCUGGGUAUGAAGCAUUUAUUGAACAAUCUGCUGAGACUGGCUGUCUUUUCGAAAACACCCAAACAUCAUAUCCCCGGAACCAGCUUUUCCUCUUGUCAGAGAGAAACUUGUCCUUCUGCAGAAUUCCGUGCGCCCCAUUUGUAGGUUUAGAGAUGAUAUGUUACCUCGUGAGUUGCUUCUCCCACGUGGUUGAUCUAUAGAGGGCUUCACUUCUGUGCCACUCAUUUUUAAAGUGGGGGAGGCUGUCUGGUGAGCACACAUUAAUAUGCGGCACAUAACCACAUCUCUGAAUGCCAGUCUUCCAUUCUUCAUUAAACAAAAAUGGCUGGAUUGCCAGGAUUGUUUGUCCUUUCUCCCACACACAUAUGCACACACGCUCACAUUCACUUCUCAGGCACACAUACAUGCACACAACCUUCUCACGCACCUACACACCCACCCAAGACACCCAGAGCGUAUCAGUGUCAGGAUUGAGUUGCGUGUGAAAGUUGUCUGCUGCACACAUGACGAAUAAGGAGAUUCCAGCAUACACUGGGGCUUUUUUUUUUCCUUUUUUUCCUUUUUUUUUUCCCCAUGCAGCAACAAGUGGCAGAAUCAAUGGUGUACAGUUAUUCAGCAAUGUAAUUCAUUUCACUGGCUUUGGCUCCUAGCCAGAUCCGCCAUCUGUCUCUAGCUCUCCCUCUCCCCCUCUCUCUCCCUCUCCCUCUCUUUUGCUUGAAUUUGUCCUACAUUUCGUAAUAUUACGUGCCUGCCAUCCUUAUCCUAUGCCAGAGGUACACCACCGCUCUCACCCCCAUUCCGGCGUGGAGUUCUCUGAGUUCGGUGGCACUUGGGAUACUCCACCUCAGUGCCAUGGGAGGAAAAGGCCUUUUAUCCAAAGCCUUGAGAUGGAUCUGCCUCAUCCAGGAACUUUUCCUGCUUCGUUAGAGUAUCUUCGUUUCCUUUAUCAGACGCUGGCACUCCACGCCAGCGCACGGCUCCAUGGAAUGCCUGCUGUUGGACACUUGCAGAGCUCUGCCACCAAACAACCUCCUGCAUUGGAAAUCGGGGGACUCCUCCAGGAUCUUAUGCGUGCUUGCUGCUUGAAGCUGCAGAAAAGUGAAUAA